GACGAACGCUGGCGGCGUGCUUAACACAUGCAAGUCGAACGGAAAGGCCCUGCUUUUGUGGGGUGCUCGAGUGGCGAACGGGUGAGUAACACGUGAGUAACCUGCCCUUGACUUUGGGAUAACUUCUGGAAACUCGGGCUAAUACCGGAUAGGAGCUCCUGCUGCAUGGUGGGGGUUGGAAAGUUUCGGCGGUUGGGGAUGGACUCGCGGCUUAUCGGCUUGUUGGUGGGGUAGUUGCUUACCAAGGUUUUGACGGGUAGCCGGCCUGAGAGGGUGACCGGCCACAUGGGGACUGAGAGACGGCCCAGACGCCUACGGGAGGCAGCAGGGGGGAAUAUUGCACAAUGGGGGGAAGCCUGAUGCAGCAACGCCGCGUGCGGGAUGACGGCCUUCGGGUUGAAAACCGCUUUCGCCUGUGACGAAGAGUGAGUGACGGUAAUGGGUAAAGAAGCACCGGCUAACUACGUG
Molecule: ribosomal RNA, 468 nt
Filed under: uncultured bacterium
Lineage: Bacteria
Description: partial 16S ribosomal RNA
Rfam family: Bacterial small subunit ribosomal RNA
Source: RNAcentral